UGGGGAAUAUUGGACAAUGGGGGGAACCCUGAUCCAGCCAUGCCGCGUGUGUGAAGAAGGCCUUAUGGUUGUAAAGCACUUUAAGCGAGGAGGAGGGUACUGGUAUUAAUACUACCAGCUACUGGACGUUACUCGCAGAAUAAGCACCGGCUAACUCUGUGCCAGCAGCCGCGGUAAUACAGAGGGUGCGAGCGUUAAUCGGAUUUACUGGGCGUAAAGCGUGCGUAGGCGGCUAAUUGAGUCGGAUGUGAAAUCCCCGAGCUUAACUUGGGAAUUGCAUUCGAUACUGGUUAGCUAGAGUGUGGGAGAGGAUGGUAGGAUUCCAGGUGUAGCGGUGAAAUGCGUAGAGAUCUGGAGGAAUACCGAUGGCGAAGGCAGCCAUCUGGCCUAACACUGACGCUGAGGUACGAAAGCAUGGGGAGCAAACAGG
This 430-nucleotide ribosomal RNA is filed under the name Pseudomonadota bacterium. RNAcentral describes it as "Proteobacteria bacterium partial 16S ribosomal RNA". It matches the Rfam family "Bacterial small subunit ribosomal RNA", at positions 355 to 776 of the family's 1533-position model. The record is from RNAcentral. Lineage: Bacteria; Pseudomonadati; Pseudomonadota.